Molecule: ribosomal RNA, 520 nt
Filed under: uncultured bacterium
Lineage: Bacteria
Description: bacterial SSU rRNA
Rfam family: Bacterial small subunit ribosomal RNA
Source: RNAcentral
GGGAAUCUACCCAUCACUACGGAACAACUCCGGGAAACUGGAGCUAAUACCGUAUACGUCCUUCGGGAGAAAGAUUUAUCGGUGAUGGAUGAGCCCGCGUUGGAUUAGCUAGUUGGUGGGGUAAUGGCCCACCAAGGCGACGAUCCAUAGCUGGUCUGAGAGGAUGAUCAGCCACACUGGGACUGAGACACGGCCCAGACUCCUACGGGAGGCAGCAGUGGGGAAUAUUGGACAAUGGGCGCAAGCCUGAUCCAGCCAUGCCGCGUGAGUGAUGAAGGCCCUAGGGUUGUAAAGCUCUUUCACCGGUGAAGAUAAUGACGGUAACCGGAGAAGAAGCCCCGGCUAACUUCGUGCCAGCAGCCGCGGUAAUACGAAGGGGGCUAGCGUUGUUCGGAAUUACUGGGCGUAAAGCGCACGUAGGCGGACAUUUAAGUCCGGGGUGAAAUCCCGGGGCUCAACCCCGGAACUGCCUUUGAUACUGGGUGUCUUGAGUGUGGAAGAGGUGAGUGGAAUUCCGAGU